This 73-nucleotide transfer RNA is filed under the name Podarcis lilfordi (Lilford's wall lizard). Its description in RNAcentral is "tRNA.Lys". Lineage: Eukaryota; Metazoa; Chordata; Lepidosauria; Squamata; Lacertidae. The record is from RNAcentral.
UGGGGAUAGCUCAGUCAGUAAAGCAUGAGACUCUUAAUCCCAGGGUCUUGGAUUCAAGCCCCACACUGCGCAA